Molecule: long non-coding RNA, 4675 nt
Organism: Equus caballus (horse)
Lineage: Eukaryota; Metazoa; Chordata; Mammalia; Perissodactyla; Equidae
Source: RefSeq, a predicted model, not a curated record
CGCAGGGGUGUGACCAGGGCACACUUUUCACUUGCCUGGUUAUUGACUCUUCAAAGAUGCUUCUGUACAACACUCACAGAGAUGCAGAGAAGCGUCUGUUGCCCAUGACAAAGAUGAUCUUCAUUAUCCCUACUUUUGGGGGGCCAAUAUGGGUGGAGCACCUCACCGCCUCUACCCCAUGAGCAAAGGGAUCUCUCACUAAAAGACCUCCCCAUCUUCCCAGCUUGGCUCCGACCCUCUGCUCAGUGAUCCCUGGCGUCCCCGGCCUGACACCCCCAGUCUGGACAUCUCUCUGUGGAGGGGAGGCCAGGGGCACCCUGACCACAGCUGCCCCGCGGGCAUGAUCCCUGCCUGGGCUGGGGCAGGAAAAGGGAGCUGGCCCAGCCUGGAAGAGUUUUAAAUUCCUCUGUUCAUUUUCCCCCUCUCCCUCCCUUAGGUUCCAAAUCCAAUUCUAGCUCCUGGCCAACUGGUAGAAUUAAAGGAUUAAGAGCUACCCAGGUCUUAUCCCGAUAUGAAAAGAUUUCACUGAGAGGCUCAUAGUUCAGCGUCCAAAGCCAGGGAAAUCGCUCCGCCUGCGGCUGGGUAUUGUUGGAAAGCCUCACUGGAACCACCUUUGAGCUCCUGGCUGGGGCAUCCUGUUGCACUUAUCUCUUAAGACCUCGCUCAUAAUUGCUCCCUGUCCGACAAGCACAGAGGACUCCAGGCUUUAUCUGUUAAGGGUUCUCUAAUCCAGUUCACGAGGAUGGUGGGAAUCAGGACACCUGGGAACCCUUCUAGAGUCAACGCAGAAUCUCACAGGAGCCCUGAGCCGAUCUCUGGAGAGCCCUGAGGACAAGCAGAGGGGCCAGGCCCCUGAAAGGAACCUGUGGGCUGGGGGCUGGGGCCAGAGCUGGUGGGGCUGGUCAGAGAGACCAACUGUGAAGGAAAAAGACUUUGCACAGCAAAGCAGAAGGGAUGUUUUAGUGCAUGCUGGGUGGGUGUAACCGCAUGUGUGUACACACGCAUGUGUGUAUACGGUGUGUGUGUGUGUGGACUUCUGCACAAAGGUCAGGGAGAGGGUCCAGGCCAGGCCCCCAGGGGCUCAGCUGGUCAGCCAGGUGGUGAGGGGCUCUGAAGCUGGUGGCACAGGGUGGCACAGCUGGCAGCCUCUGACAGGCGAGAGCGUGGCGGAGGUGUGGAUGAGUCAGAAGCUGCAUCUUUGCGGGCCCAUGGGAAGCUUCCUGACAAAUGCCGUUCAUCUUCAGGUUGGGGGGACAGCCAGUGUGCCACUCCAUAUGGGCACACCUCGACCUAUCAUCAGCCGACCGUCGCCCUUCGUGGGACCCCGGAGCGCUCCUCUGACUGAUGGAGGCUUUGUGGAGAGGUCACGGGGACUCUGCAGGUGCAAGCGCAGACUCCAGCAUCCCUCGGCACCUUGCAUGGCUUCAUCUGUCUACACUGACAGAACCUUCCCCAGCUAGACCACGGGGGCCGUGUUGCACUCCUAACACUUCUCCAACGUGAGCAAGCAAGAUGGUCUCGGGAGAGCUGGGCAAGCGGGGAGCUGGCGAGGGGAAGAUGCAGCGACGUGUUUAAUGCACUGUUUCCUGGGGACCUAGAAUGAAAAUUUUAACAGCUCAGAAGCUGUGCACCGAAGGCGCCUCUACUGCGGGUUCUCAGAAGGGUAUUCCAACUAAAUUGCAGAAAUAAAUAUGCAUCUUCCGUGUUUUUGAUGAGCUAUUGCUGCACAGAGCCUGAAUCCUUAAGCGGCAGCAGACUCCUCCAUGGGAAAAACAGCGGUCUUCAAGUGGCCUGGCUUUGGGGCUUGUCAGCUGUGUUUGCGCUUCGUGGCCAUAAGGCCAUCGCUUUCAUGGGACCCACUCAGAGCUGACCUGCUGUACCAAACUGGAGAACAACCCAGAAAUGGAAAGAAAAAGAGAACUGUAAAAAAAAUGCACAAAGACGCCCUGUAGAAAGAUAGGGUCCACAGCACGUCAUCACAGCAAAUCAGCCCACAAAGGGUCCACGCCCAAGCUAACUCUAGGGCACGGGCAAGUCCUUUCAGAGAAGGAGGGGAGGGAGCGGGCUCUGCAAUGCCCAGGCAGCGGCAGGAAAGGCUCGGCCGGCCAGACCGUCUCUCUGUCUCUCCCUGCCCACCCCCUGGGAACCCAGGCCUGUGGGCUCUGACGUGGGGGAACCACUCAGCCCCAUUUCACACCUAAGUGGGACACACCCAAGGCCCUUGGCGACUGCCACACUUAUUCCACCGUCCUCCUCAGGUUUGACCUUGCUGCAGACACGUGCAGAAGCACUGCCAGGCCAGUGCCACGGUGGGCCCAUGAGGGGCGGACCUGCGCACAAACGAAAGAGAACCCGACACACACCUCCAGACCUGCCAGCGGGAAAACAUUCCAAGAUCAACACAUUUCAACUCACUAAUUAAUACAGCCAAAAGGCAUUUUUCAUAUUAGACUUAUUAAAAUCACUUGUAUUUAAGUGUUUUUGAACUCAUAUUUUCCGAUGCUGUGCGUUUUUCUAAAGUGUUCUAGUCAUGUUAUGCAAAUGCCUAUUUAAAUUACCAGGGGUAUUUGUUUUCUAUUUCUACUCUGUAAAACAUAAUUUUAAUACAAGUUAUUUGUGAAAUGCACAUUGGAAAAAAGAAAAUAAGAUUUGAGAUGGCAUUUCUAUGAUAAUUUUAUUGCAAAUGUUGACCAUGUUUUUGUAUUUGUCUGCAAAAGGUAAUGCGGAAUAUACAUAAGACAUAUUUCUGGGAUUUAUUGUCAUAUGUGACUAAAUUAGUAAAGGAAAAUUUGCUCCAUUUUUUUUGAACCCGAGGAGGGCAGUCCUUCACCCCGGGAAGCGUGUUUUAGAGGGAACAGGCACGGCCGCGAGAGGGCUGAGCCCCAUGCCAUCACAGAGAAGACUCGCUCUCACUCUGCACUUCUCCCAGGUUUUCUGACACCUGCGUGCUGCCAGACACAGCAUCUGAGGCAGAAGCACAGGCCCUGCUGGGAGAGGGGUGCUCAGCUCGUGGAGGACACGACCGUUGAGUGGAGGACAGGGGUGGGGUUCUCUCGAGUGCCAAAGUGGUGAAUGUAGGGGCCAGACUCCACGGCAGGGGAGAGCCUUGGAGAGGGUGCUGAGGAGGUCUUCCUUUGUAGAGUUAUCUAAAACCUGUAGUCUUCCUCCUGCCAGCAUCUGUUUGAUACAUGUGUGAUACAGGCAUAGUAAGAUCACUAGAGGCAAAAGAUGAAGUCAAGAGGGAAUCCUGAAUUCAGGAUUAAGUAUUAAUGCUACUUCUGAGCUUCCCGGCAGCCAAGGCAAAAAAGGGAAACAAUGAGUUCAAUGCCUUUCAUUGUCCAGUGAAGAAUAUCUGUCUCUUUGGAGGAGAGCCAGUUUCCUUCUGUCUUCCAGGUUCAGUAGAUCCACAGAGAGCCUCUCAUAAGGGAAAGCAGGGACAGGGUAGGCUCUGUCCCCACUGGUGAAUUUACAGAGGGUGCAGAAAUGCCGUUAUGAGGGUGGUUGGAUUAAAACAAAAGGUAUGAUGGUCAAUCAUAGUUUUUAAAGAUGUCUCUGUGCUGGUGUGGGGGCGCCUGUAACAGAAUGAGACUCCAUCCUCAACACCCGCAGCCCCAUCCUCCAGGCAGUCAUUGCUCACUCUUACAUGUGUCAACGAGGACCAACAGUGAGAUUUUCCCAGGCUCCCCUGAGCCAGGGGGGAAGGAGGCUGCCCAUCCCAGAGCUGGCUGGGGGAGUGCUGCAGGGCUCCCCACAUGAGCCAGGGCGACUGCCUGCUCGUCAUUUGUCCCAUUAGGUGCCAGCUAUUGGGGUUUCAAAAGGCAGGGCUUGGAAACAAAAACUCUCACCUGCGGUAACCCGCCCGUCACCUGGGCACCCCCGCUUUGACGUCUGUGGAGAGGGACUCUGGUUUGCCCUGUGUCUCCCGAGCACCCGCAGCGGGCUCUUGAGCCAAUGGACUCAACGCAGGUUUCCUGAAGAGCACUGACCGUGGGUGUCAUCUGGGCCAGUGGGUCGAGUGCAAGGUCAGCUUGGAUUCAAAUGGAAGCUGUGUGACGCUGGGCCAGGGCUCCACGGCCCGAGUCUGUCUCCUCAUCCGAAAACAUGGCCGUGACAAAACCAGUCCUGCGGAGAGGCUGUAGAGACAAGAAGGAUGUGUGCCAAGUGCCACUUCGUAUCUGGUGCUGAGGCCCCAAGAGACCAUGAUGUCCAGAUGACAGUGAGAGUGGGCGUUUGGGUGACACUUAACGUAUAAAGUGCUCAGUGUACAUGAUCUCCUGAAAUCCUCACGGUGAUCCUGUGAGGUUAAAUGUAACUUAUCAUCUCCACUUCACAGAGGCAGAAUUGGCUCAGAGAGUUUCAAUGACUUGCCCAGUGAUGCACAGCACGUCAAGGGUAGUGCUGGGACGAGGCCCACCCAGGUCUUCUGAGUCUCCUUGAGCAGUCUCUUUAUCCUAUCCCUUUGCCCCCGGGAGCUGGGUGGCCCCUUCGGGCUGGGCCCACCAUCUUCACCUAGGAGGGUCUGGGAGAGACAACGUGGGCUCAGCCAGGCCCCAGCCACAGGCUGAGAGGUCACUUUCCGUCUUCCCCGAGGCUUCCCUUCCGCUUGGGCCAGCUGGAGCUGGGGUCAUCAGGUGAGGCCCUGGAGGAGCGAGGGGCCCUGGCUGUGUGUCCCUCC